The sequence is a small nucleolar RNA, 164 nucleotides long. It matches the Rfam family "Small nucleolar RNA snR80".
ACACGUCUCAAACACUCUGGACCUUGCUUCCUUUCCCUUGUGGAUUGGCUCAACCUAUAGCAUAGCCCUAUUUUUGGAAGACGAAGACUGAAUUGUCCGAUUACUCACCGCGAUAUCUUAUCCUUCGGGCGUAGAUAUAGUGGUCCAUAUCUUCAGGUCAACAC